Lingula anatina is the source of this 294-nucleotide long non-coding RNA. Lineage: Eukaryota; Metazoa; Brachiopoda; Lingulata; Lingulida; Lingulidae. The record is from RefSeq and is a predicted model, not a curated record.
CCCAAAAUAGACUUGCCCAGAUUUGGUGAAACAGAAAGCAUGCACUGACAUCCCAAUGUAAUAGGAACAGCUUCUAUUCUAGUUAGAUGGAGUGAUGAACAUGGGAGCUGCGCUGGUGGUAAAGGAGAGAAAAUUGAGUUCCUAAAUUGUACAAACAAACUUUCUGCUGGCAGAUGGCUGUUCGAUGUCAGAUUCCAUUGGGAGAGUUGUUAGCAUUGAUAAGAAGUUGCUGACUUCAGAUAUCUUUGUUUGUGAUUUAUCAUCUUAAGGAGAGAAGAUACUAGAGGAGAGAGG